This is an RNA transcript of Cornus florida, 3361 nucleotides long. It is a transcript of the gene named putative F-box/LRR-repeat protein At4g15060, with no coding region annotated. The transcript is spliced from 5 exons. The record is from RefSeq and is a predicted model, not a curated record. NCBI's taxonomy places the organism in Eukaryota, Viridiplantae, Streptophyta, Magnoliopsida, Cornales, Cornaceae.
AAUAGGCUACUGACACGACGACUGUCCUUGUGCAGUCACCAUUGCUCAUAAGUUUUAAUUUCAGCCAUUAGAUUUAAAAGCAUCUCAACCGUUGGUUUGUAAAAGUUGAAACAUAAUGAUAACCCUAUAAGGUUAGAUCUAGAAGCCUGCAGCAGGGCGUGUCAGAUGUGCUAAUUCAGGACCACCACCACACGAAGAGCCCUCCGCAUACGAGAUACAACAUCCUCUGACCUACUCUCUCAAAGACGAUUUUUAUGAUGCGAUCGCGAGUGCGAGGCAUCUGCAGUGCGAAUCUACUAUAAGAUCUUAUUUUAUUUGUAAAAUUAUGCAGAAAACUGUAAGUUCAAAUCCUUUGGAGAAAACCACCUCGGUAUGUUGUGCUCAAAACCAUCUCUUCAGUCGGAAUGGGAUCAGUCGGCUGCCAGAUGAAAUUACUGUUUCAGUUCUGUCUUUUCUGGGAAUUAGAGAAGCGGGACGCACUUGUGUACUCUCAAAAAGAUGGGAACAGUUGUGGUCAUAUCACAGGGUUCUAAAUUUUGAUGCUUCACAAACAAUUUUUGAUCUUGAAUCGAAUCCAAAUCCAAAGUUACUGAAAGUAGAAAGAUGUAGGUACAUAAAUUGGGUGAACAAAGUCACGGAGUCGCAUUGUGGUUCAACCAUAGAUGAGUUUAGAGUUUCUUUUUGUUUGAAUAGAUCUUCUAGUUGUGUGAUUGAUAGAUGGAUUGAGUUCGCGAUAGCAAAGAGAGUUCAAAGGCUUGAGCUGGACUUGGAACCAAGUUAUUAUAUCGAUAGGGGUAGAGCAUAUACUUUUCCAAACCCGAUUUAUAUUCACAUCAAAAGUCCUGCCGGUUUAUCCAGCAUUAGGUCCCUAAGAUCACUCUGUUUUAAGCGUGUGAACAUCAGUGGAGAGAUUCUUGAAUACUUCCUUUCCAAUUGUCCUCUUCUCGAAUCUUUACAAGUAGACCAGUCGAGACAUUUAGUGAAUUUAAAAGUUUUUGGUUCCUCACUUCGGCUGAAGGUUUUGGAGAUAACCUUCUGCCCUAAACUGAUGGAUGUUGAGGUUUCUGCUACCAGUCUUGUGUCAUUUAAAUAUGUUGGACUGGGCCAAGCAAUAAAUAUGCAAAUUAAGGAUGCAUUCCAGCUUGCUCACUUGUCUUGUUCGGAUUUCGUUGUGCCAAUAGAACGUGUUUUUUUCCAGUUUUCAAGCUACUUUUCGCAGCUCGAGACUCUUUUGCUGACCAUUAAUUUUCGUCAUUUCCCAAAGGCUAAUGCAGCAUUCGAACAGCUUCCUGAAUUUAGCAAGCUCAAGCACUUGACAUUGCAACUUGUAGCAGAUAAUUUUUCAAAACUUCUCGUUUGGACUACCUUGAUAAAUGCAUCACCUUUGCUGCAUAAAUUUGAAUUGCAGGAUAGAAUGCUAGGCAAUUAAGAAACAACAUAUAUAUAAUAUGAAUGGGGCAGUCAUCCGAAUGUCAUGAUCGAUGUGCGGAAAAGAAAAGACAGAAUUAGGACUGAACAGAUUCAUGGGACGGUUAAAGUGUUAAACUAACACCAAUUGAAGACAAAAUGAGAGAUAAUGUACUAAAUGGGUUUGGACGUGUGCAAAGAACAAGACCACUAAGUGAGUGAGUUAGGAAGAAUGACAUGAUUCACAUUGACGGUAACGUGGGGGAAGAUCAAAGGUAACAUGUAUAGAAUUACUAACGAAAUAUUUGAUAACAUGUAGCUUGAAUGAGAGUCUGAGAUUAUGACUUUGAAUAAAGUGGAAUUGAAAAUUUGGGAUGAGCCGACUCCAAGUAGUUGGGAAAAAGACUUUGUUGAGUUAAUUUGAGUGUAGUGCAUCUAUUAUAUAUGACUAUAUUUAACAUUGAUUUAUGUACUAAUAAUUGCGUAUGUGGAAGAUGAAGGUUUAUAAAUAUAUCCUUAACAUUUACAUAUAUGCAAUGUUUUUGCUAAUUACCUAUUAUAUAUUUUUAGUUACAAUUAUAUUCUUGUCCAAUACUAAAAAGUGUCAAUUGCAUCUUUUUAUAUAUGUUGAUCCUGUUUCAAAAUUUGUUAGGGAUGACUUUUUUUUUACAUAUAUGCAAUGUGUUAAACAAGACUUGUUUUAGUCUAAAAUAAUGAAAUUUAAUUUUGAGUUACGGACACAUAAAUGAAAGAGAUACUUCCUUUUAGUGUCCCCUACGACAAUAUUGUUUCUCAAUGAGUUGGCACGGCUGUCCAUGUAGGUAAUUACACUAUGUGAAGUGUUUGGUACAUUUUUAAAAUCAAUUUAGCCUUGCUCGGAUUCUGGAAUCAACGUCCUCUUUUGAUUACAACUUGAUUUAGCAAAUAUGUAGGGUAUUAUACUUGUUUUUCAAAUACUGAUUUAAGUUUCUUUGCUAAUGGCUAGAUGCUGAUAAAUUAUUAAUGAUAGUUCUAGUACGAUAGUAAAACUUUAGCCACAGAAGUUCCAUUUCUAAUAUCUCCUCUCUCAUUUUUUGGUGCGGGGUUGAAGAAAGACUUCAUAGAGUUGUCUACUACUAUUUUUAGUGUGAGGAGCACAAUUUUUUUGUACAUGGAAACUUUAACAUACUGCUUUAAUGUAAAUCUGCUAUAACUAAAUUUAAUUAUUGUAAGUUGUUAAUCUUUAAUGAAGUGCUUGUUUGGAUGUCAUAACUGUUCCAUGAAUACUUCGUGAUCUGCCCCUGUUUUCGUCGCUGAGUAUCACUAUGCGUUGGGACAGCUUUUGAUUUGGCUGAUAGAUUAUUUGGGACCUCGUGAGAAGCAAUAUGAAAGAAAAAUGCUUGAAGGUGGCAACUGCCCCCAUCAAAGCCUAAAGGAGGUGGAAUUGGCUGGGUUUUGUGGCCGAGUUAUUGACCUCGAGUUUGCCCACUACUUGAUUAAGAAUGCCGUCACAGUGGAGAAGAUUAUAAUUAAUCGUCAUUGUACAAUUCGUGCUAGCAGACCAAGACCGUGGCUGUUUGAGGAAACCAAGGAGAAACAAUAUGCAAAAAAGUGUGCUAUGGAACUCCAAAAAAGUCUGCCCUCGAGAAUAAAAAUGGAAAUUAUUUAAUCUUGCUCAACUGCAUUUCGUUGCUGCUUGAUGUUUAGUUUGUUCGUAGUUCUAAGAUAAUAAGUUGAUUAUUAGCAAUUUGUUUGUACUUCUAGGAGAGUUUCAUGACUGUAUCUUGUUCGCGCCUUUUUCUAGCUGGGGAAGGAUAGGUAGAUUUCUCAGAGUUUGAGUUCGUUUAUUUCGGCGGAGCUUGGUUCUGUUCCCCGAGAAUUAGCUGCUGUUUGAUAAAAUUUGAGGGACGGAGGGUGAGUGUGGGGUUACUUGCUGAUGUAAUAAAUAAAUAAAAAUUCUCUUAAUGUUUUAUAA